RNAcentral lists this ribosomal RNA (497 nucleotides) under uncultured bacterium. RNAcentral's name for it is "partial 16S ribosomal RNA". It matches the Rfam family "Bacterial small subunit ribosomal RNA", at positions 28 to 507 of the family's 1533-position model. The record is from RNAcentral.
GAUGAACGCUGGCGGCGUGCCUAAUACAUGCAAGUCGAGCGAACAGACGAGGAGCGUGCUCCUCUGACGUUAGCGGCGGACGGGUGAGUAACACGUGGAUAACCCACCUAUAAGACUGGGAUAACUUCGGGAAACCGGAGCUAAUACCGGAUAAUAUAUUGAACCGCAUGGUUCAAUAGUGAAAGACGGUUUUGCUGUCACUAAUAGAUGGAUCCGCGCCGCAUUAGCUAGUUGGUAAGGUAACGGCUUACCAAGGCGACGAUGCGUAGCCGACCUGAGAGGGUGAUCGGCCACACUGGAACUGAGACACGGUCCAGACUCCUACGGGAGGCAGCAGUAGGGAAUCUUCCGCAAUGGGCGAAAGCCUGACGGAGCAACGCCGCGUGAGUGAUGAAGGUCUUCGGAUCGUAAAACUCUGUUAUUAGGGAAGAACAAAUGUGUAAGUAACUAUGCACGUCUUGACGGUACCUACUCAGAAAGCCACGGCUAACUACGUG